GGGGACGGUGUUGCGGAUCAUGAGGUGGCGGAACUCCUCCUCGAGCCGGGACAUAGAGAUCUGGAGCAGGCUGUCGGUUUGGGCGCGGAGAUCGGGGGCGGCGGGGUAGAGGGAGAUGAGGUCGUCGACGGCGGUGAGGUACUCGGCGGCGUCUUCGGCGGAGGACUCCCAGAGGAGGGAGUCGGGGCCGGAGGCGUCCCAGCGGAGGAUGACCCGCUCGAUGGCGGCGAGGCCGGGCGAGGCGGUGGUGGGGGGCGGGGAGCUGG
RNAcentral lists this unclassified non-coding RNA (266 nucleotides) under Hevea brasiliensis (rubber tree). The record is from RNAcentral. Lineage: Eukaryota; Viridiplantae; Streptophyta; Magnoliopsida; Malpighiales; Euphorbiaceae.